GUGGGGAAUCUUAGACAAUGGGGGAAACCCUGAUCUAGCCAUGCCGCGUGAGCGAUGAAGGCCUUAGGGUUGUAAAGCUCUUUCAGCUGGGAAGAUAAUGACGGUACCAGCAGAAGAAGCCCCGGCUAACUCCGUGCCAGCAGCCGCGGUAAUACGGAGGGGGCUAGCGUUGUUCGGAAUUACUGGGCGUAAAGCGCGCGUAGGCGGACCAGAAAGUUGGAGGUGAAAUCCCAGGGCUCAACCUUGGAACUGCCUUUGAAACUCCUGGUCUUGAGGUCGAGAGAGGUGAGUGGAAUUCCGAGUGUAGAGGUGAAAUUCGUAGAUAUUCGGAGGAACACCAGUGGCGAAGGCGGCUCACUGGCUCGAUACUGACGCUGAGGUGCGAAAGCGUGGGGAGCAAACAGGAUUAGAUACCCUAGUAGUCC
RNAcentral lists this ribosomal RNA (425 nucleotides) under uncultured bacterium. Its description in RNAcentral is "partial 16S ribosomal RNA". It matches the Rfam family "Bacterial small subunit ribosomal RNA", at positions 354 to 796 of the family's 1533-position model. The record is from RNAcentral.